GACGAACGCUGGCGGCGUGCCUAACACAUGCAAGUCGAACGAAGCUUGAAGAUUGAUUCUUCGGAUGAAAUCUGAUAUGACUGAGUGGCGGACGGGUGAGUAACGCGUGAGCAACCUGCCCUUCGGAGGGGGAUAGUGUCUGGAAACGGACAGUAAUACCGCAUAACGUAUUUUUACCGCAUGACUAGAAAUACCAAAACUGAGGUGCCGAAGGAUGGGCUCGCGUUGGAUUAGAUAGUUGGUGAGGUAACGGCCCACCAAGGCGACGAUCAGUAGCCGGACUGAGAGGUUGACCGGCCACAUUGGGACUGAGAUACGGCCCAG
RNAcentral lists this ribosomal RNA (324 nucleotides) under uncultured bacterium. RNAcentral's name for it is "bacterial SSU rRNA". It matches the Rfam family "Bacterial small subunit ribosomal RNA", at positions 28 to 334 of the family's 1533-position model. The record is from RNAcentral.